AACGAACGCUGGCGGCAUGCCUAACACAUGCAAGUCGAACGAGACCUUCGGGUCUAGUGGCGCACGGGUGCGUAACGCGUGGGAACCUGCCUUUAGGUUCGGAAUAACUCAGUGAAAUUUGAGCUAAUACCGGAUGAUGUCUUCGGACCAAAGAUUUAUCGCCUUUAGAUGGGCCCUCGUUGGAUUAGCUAGUUGGUGGGGUAAAGGCCUACCAAGGCGACGAUCCAUAGCUGGUCUGAGAGGAUGAUCAGCCACACUGGGACUGAGACACGGCCCAGACUCCUACGGGAGGGAGCAGUGGGGAAUAUUGGACAAUGGGCGCAAGCCUGAUCCAGCAAUGCCGCGUAAGUGAUGAAGGCCUUAGGGUUGUAAAGCUCUUUUACACGAGAUGAUAAUGACAGUAUCGGGAGAAUAAGCUCCGGCUAACUCCGUG
RNAcentral lists this ribosomal RNA (433 nucleotides) under uncultured bacterium. Its description in RNAcentral is "partial 16S ribosomal RNA". It matches the Rfam family "Bacterial small subunit ribosomal RNA", at positions 29 to 507 of the family's 1533-position model. The record is from RNAcentral.